Molecule: long non-coding RNA, 2083 nt
Organism: Anolis carolinensis (green anole)
Lineage: Eukaryota; Metazoa; Chordata; Lepidosauria; Squamata; Anolidae
Source: Ensembl
GCAGGGGGUUGGACUAGAUGGCCCAUGUGGUCUCUUCCAACUCUUCUAUUCUAUGAUUCUAUGAUUCUAUGAAGGAGAGCACCCACUCUAUCUAUCCAUCCACUCAUCUAUCCAUCCACUCACCCACUAAUAAUAAACACCUACACAGGCUAGAAUCAGCCAUGCACUGAGGCUACAAGGCCAUUCAGUGCUCAUCCACCUCCCCAAUCCCUACAUUCACACUUGGCCUCCAAAAACACAAAUACAAUAAUAACAAUGACAGCAACAACAAUAAGAAUGAACACCAUCACAGGCAGGAAGCAACCAGGCACUAAGGCUGAGAGGCCAGUCAGUGCUACACUGACCCUCCAAAAAAAAAAACAAAAAAACAAUACAGUACAUCUAACUUAUCCAACCUUCAUGACCACUACAACAACAACCACAACAACAACAAUAAUAAUAAACACCUACACAGGCAAAACAAAAAAAAGGACUAUUGUACCACAAUAAAAAUAUAAACCGCACUCAGCAGAAUCAGACAUUACAACUAACAACAAACCAAAGACAACAGGGAUCUCAACCAAUUAUCAAUCAACACAAAAAUUGAAGGUAACAGACUUCAAAUACUACUACUAAUGUGAGUAUAAAGAAGGUGGAGGUCACAGCAUAAAUACAACCUAAUGUAGACUGACCAACACCACCAGACUCAGCCACAGCAACGCGUGGCCCGGGCACAGCUAGUUAUCAUAUAAGAUGUAACCAUGGCAAUUCAUGAGGACUCCUAUUGCCAUAACUAGAUGCUGUGAAAGGACCUCUGAUUUGGAGCAGGCCAUGUAAGGCAAAACUCAGUGCCAUAAAUAUGUAUUGUUGUCUGUUGUAAAGAGUACAUGGAUGUAUUGUCUUUCCAUUUGGUUUAUUUUAAUGGGAUGAGUGCCAUGUAAUACCUAUCUGUACCCAUCAUAAUAUAGGUUAUCUUUAUCCAGGUGCAAAAUGAAACCAUUCCUUAGUAGUCCUUAUCUGAAUUAGAAUUAUGGGUAAAGUAUCUGGUCCUUUUUUGCAAGUGAAUGUUGUUGAGGUAUAAUUCUUCACAUUGGCUGGUUGCUCCCAGCGAGAUGGUUAUUUAACAAAAACACUCCACCUUACUGAAUUAUCCACACAUACUGUACCUCAUCUUGCUUACUUCUCCAUGAAAUGUCAGAAGUACCUCCUACCGUGCUAUGUCGGCAACUCCUGCAAUACUGAUUAAAUUUCUAUAUAAUAUCAAAUUGCUGAGUUCUGCGAACCAUAAAUUAUAAAAUCUGCCUUGUACUUCAUAAGCCGCCUCCUAAAUGUGCAUUUUUCGGCUUAGCGAGGUCGAGUUAUCUUUUUAUUUACAGGUAAAAAAGCGUAUCCCUGUGUUUUAAGCUUUAAAAUCUAGAAUAGUUUUAAAACUGUAUUUCUUUUAAUGAAAGAAGUAAACAGAACAAUGUUGUCACCUAUUAUUGUGUUUCAAGUCGCUUGAGGGAGGAAAAUUACAUUGCUGCAUUUGAAUGCAGUGUCUCUGGUGAAAGAAAGAGUAGAAUAUGAAGAAUAUGUAUAGAAGAGAGUCCUUACUUAGAUUCUAUCUGCUGUGAAAUAUGAUCUGUAGAACUGUAAUCAGGAGCUGAGCAUUAUAGUAGAUAUUGCUGCAUACGAGGAGAUAAGUAUUAAAAGGGCUUGUGGUCAUUUCACACAUCAAAUGAAUAUGUGUGGUCUCUCUAACCCAGGCUGCACAUUUUAAAUCACAUUCACCGCUACUGACCUUUUGGCCCCAGACACUAAGAGCGUAAUGUGAACAGUCCAUUCCUGUUAGUUUAAAGGCUGUGGCUGAAACUUCCUAUGCAGAGCGUUCACUCUUGCUCGCUCCCUUUCUUUCCUUCAGUCUCCCUCUCCCUCCCUCUCUUUCUCCCCAUCUCCCUCCCCCCUUCUCUUUUUAAUUAGCAGGGAGGGGUCAAUAGAAAUAGAAACUGAAUUUUCCUUCAAUGUGCUUUUAUAGCUCUAUUCUCCAUAUGACCUGUAUUAGCAGGAUAGAUGUAUGCUCACCUAGUAGUUUAAAGGCACCAUAGAGCAGGAGAGCAUGGCUGGC